UACGAACUGUGCAAACGUUAUUCGGAAUCACUGGGCGUAAAGCGUGCGCAGGCGGUUUGCUAAGACAGGUGUGAAAUCCCCGGGCUUAACCUGGGAACUGCGCUUGUAACUGGCAAGCUAGAGUGUGGCAGAGGGGGGUGGAAUUCCAAGUGUAGCAGUGAAAUGCGUAGAUAUUUGGAGGAACACCGAUGGCGAAGGCAGCCCCCUGGGCUAACACUGACGCUCAUGCACGAAAGCGUGGGGAGCAAACAGG
This 253-nucleotide ribosomal RNA is filed under the name uncultured bacterium. RNAcentral describes it as "partial 16S ribosomal RNA". It matches the Rfam family "Bacterial small subunit ribosomal RNA", at positions 524 to 776 of the family's 1533-position model. The record is from RNAcentral.